Molecule: long non-coding RNA, 1894 nt
Organism: Panicum virgatum (switchgrass)
Lineage: Eukaryota; Viridiplantae; Streptophyta; Magnoliopsida; Poales; Poaceae
Exons: 2
Source: RefSeq, a predicted model, not a curated record
GAUUCAUCAAGGAAAAGGAGAACAAAACACUUGAACAAGUGGCAGAGGGCUAUUUGAGUGAUCUUGUAAACCGAAGCCUACUACAAGUUGUGAUGAAGAAUGAGUUUGGACGUGUGGAAUGUUUCCGAAUGCAUGAUGUUAUCCGCCAUCUUGCCAUUGACAAAGCAGAGGAAGAAUGCUUUGGUAAAGUUUAUGAGGGCCAUGGGACAUUUUCGCUACGUGGAACAUGUAGACUGUCAAUACAGGGCACCAAUAUUGUUCCAUUGGAUCAAUCCAGUGCAACACAUGUCCGUGAAAUCUAUACUUGUAUGAGUUCUGUUGAUAUUGGGUUCCUGAGACCUAUUCUUGCAUCUUCAUUAUUGUUGUCCACAUUGGAUCUCGAAGGCUCUAAAAUCCAGAUGCUGCCUAAUGAGGUCUUCAGCUUGUUCAAUCUGCGUUUCUUGCGUCUUCGGAAAACUGGAAUUGAGAUGCUACCAGCAGCCAUCGGAAGACUGCAGAACUUAGAAGUACUUGACAUAGUGCGUACUUGUCUGCUAUCUUUACCAAAGAAUGUAGCAAAACUAAGAAAGCUUAGGCACUUACAUGCGUCUACAAAGAUCAAUGAAGGAUAUUUCAGCCGUCAGGGUGGAGUUAAGGUGCCUAGGGGCAUAAGGAACUUGACAGGACUCCAUGUUCUGGGAAAAGUUAAAGCUAGCUCAGAGACUAUCUGACGUUGCAGCUUUGACAGAGUUACGACAUUUUGGAGUCGACGACGUAACAAGGGAGCACGCGUUAUUCUUGCGUGCCGCUCUUCUCAACAUGAGCAGUCUGGUCAGUUUGGCAAUUAAUAUGUCAAAUAAAAAUGAAGUACUGCCAUUGCAAGAACUCUGCUUACCAGAAAGUCUUUCUGAUCUCGUAUUGAUAGGGCAGCUGGAAAAUAAAAAGAUGCCCCGUAUUCUCUCAUCCUGGUUGCACCUUAACAACCUAACUCAUCUGGAACUAGUAUUCUCCAAACUUGAUGAGAACUCAUUUUCAAGCCUCAUGGUUUUGAGUAAUUUAUGCUUUCUUUCCCUUUGUAAAUCUUAUGAUGGAAAGACGCUAUGCUUCUCUGCACAGUCAUUUCCUAGACUGACAAAACUAAGAAUACUGGGUGCUGUGCAGCUCAACCAGAUCCAAAUAGCUGAAGAUGCGCUGGGAAGUCUUGCUAUGCUACGGUUUUUACAGUGCCCAGAAUUGAAGCGCCUCCCUCAUGGGAUUGAGUACCUUACGGCCCUUGAUGAAUUAUAUUUGUUAGAUACUGCAGAUGAGUUUAUAGAGAUGCUUAGGCAGGAACCCGAAGCAAAUGAAUGCAAGGAAGAACUUAAGAAGAUCAGUCGCAUUAAAAUUGUCAUUGUUCAAUCAACUGAGAAAAACUUUAGGCAAGGAAUUGUUUCCAGUAAUGGCAAUGAAUUCAGUGGCUCAAGGCUUGGAUGCUAGCUGCUACUCCAAGAGAUCCAUGUACAAGUUUCUUCAGGUUGCUGCUGCCUCUGUUGUGCUACUUCGGUGGUUCUGGCUCACUUCAGUCGUCAUUAGUCAAAGAACAUGCAUUGAACUACUGACCGAGGACGCAUAGGACAUUUACGUGAGCAAAUUAGUUUGCAACUUAAGCGCAAACAAUGUUCUGAUUUAUGGGAUUCAUGACAUUUGCUCUUGGCGUUGUUCUGAACAUAAAAGGUUGUGCCUGGUGCAGAGAACAGAGUGUUUUUGCUUUGGGUUUCGGGGUUUCUGUUUAGUCAGUGGUAGGAAUGGAUUGGCUUGAUGUCUCCAGGUGUGUAAUAAACUUUGCGGAGUCUUUCAUUUGCAUUUUGCUGAAGAUACUUGUAUUUGGUGAUAGUCUUUUUGUUGUGUGCAUCAAGAAAUUUGAUUUGAUUUCAAC